Molecule: RNA transcript, 1216 nt
Organism: Propithecus coquereli (Coquerel's sifaka)
Lineage: Eukaryota; Metazoa; Chordata; Mammalia; Primates; Indriidae
Gene name: targeting protein for Xklp2 pseudogene
Exons: 1
Source: RefSeq, a predicted model, not a curated record
AUGCAAAUAUGGGGAAAAAACCUGUUCUUCUGCACUAAGUGGGGGAAAAUAUCACAAGUUAAAACCUUUCAUUCCUAUGAUACCCCCACAGACUUCAUCCACUUUGUAUCUUUGGAUGAUAAGGGAGAUACUCAAAACAUAUCAUAGAUUCACAGUUUGAGAAGGCCGACUUGGAGAAUAAGUUUCUUGGGAAGAAUGGAACAGGAGGACUUUUUCAGAGCAAAACUACUGUGAGAAAGGCUAAUAUUCAGACAGUUAUUAUCACACCUUUAAUACCAGUUGACAAUACUUAUUAUAAAGAGGCAGAAAAAGGUAAUUUUGUAGAACAAUCCAUUCCAUCAAAUGCUUGUUCUUCUCUGGCAGUUAAGGGAGCCAUAUUGAAAAAUAUUCCAGCCCAGUCUCUGAGAAGAUCUAUUAGACUCUCUGCUCUGAAAGAUUUGGAGCAGAAAGAAAAAGACCAGGUAAAGAUGAAAGUCAAGAAAUGUGGUACUCCUGUAAUCAUCAAUGAAAUUUCAUCCUCUAAAAAAAAUGAAGUUUCUAACAACAAAAAGAAACCAGAGGAAGAAGGCAGUGUUCAGCAAGAUACUUUUGAAAAGAAUGAAUCUUCCCCAGAGAAAGCCAAGGCAGACAAACUGUGCCUUGUAUACCACCUGUAGAGCAGAAGGUUCUAGAAGAUACUGAGGAGCAAGAGAUGGAGAAGAGAAUGGAAAUGCAGCAGAAGGUGAUUGAGAUUUGGAAAAAGAAUGAAGAAUUUAAGAAACUUGCUCUUGCAGGUACAGGGCAACCUAUGAAGAAACAAGUGAGCCAGGUAACCAAAUCAGUUGACUUCUACUUCUACACAGAUGGGAAAUCAAACAAUAUCCUAAGAAUCAGGAGGAGUAUAAGGAAGUGAACUUCACAUCUGAACUUCAAAGCAUCCUUCAUCUUCUGCCCGAGUUACAAAGGGAUGUAUCAUUAUUAAGCUUUUCAACCUGUCCCAAGGAAAGGGGAAAAACAUUUGACAAAACAGCUUCUACAUAUGCGUUCCUUACACAGUAGUCAAAGCCUUUCAUAAACAAACCUCUAACAGGUAUUAUUUGAGGAGCAAGAAGGAUGAUACUAGUCUGUUACCCUCUAAAUCUUCUGUGGCCAAGAUCUCCAGAGACCUUUACAGCAAACCAAACAAUGUGCAAGGCCCAUAACCUGCAAAAGUACAAUAGACCAGGAGGCUGAAUAG